This 488-nucleotide ribosomal RNA is filed under the name uncultured bacterium. Its description in RNAcentral is "partial 16S ribosomal RNA". It matches the Rfam family "Bacterial small subunit ribosomal RNA", at positions 30 to 505 of the family's 1533-position model. The record is from RNAcentral.
AUUGAACGCUGGCGGCAGGCCUAACACAUGCAAGUCGAACGGUAACAGGAAGCAGCUUGCUGCUUUGCUGACGAGUGGCGGACGGGUGAGUAAUGUCUGGGAAACUGCCUGAUGGAGGGGGAUAACUACUGGAAACGGUAGCUAAUACCGCAUAACGUCGCAAGACCAAAGAGGGGGACCUUAGGGCCUCUUGCCAUCGGAUGUGCCCAGAUGGGAUUAGCUAGUAGGUGGGGUAACGGCUCACCUAGGCGACGAUCCCUAGCUGGUCUGAGAGGAUGACCAGCCACACUGGAACUGAGACACGGUCCAGACUCCUACGGGAGGCAGCAGUGGGGAAUAUUGCACAAUGGGCGCAAGCCUGAUGCAGCCAUGCCGCGUGUAUGAAGAAGGCCUUCGGGUUGUAAAGUACUUUCAGCGGGGAGGAAGGGAGUAAAGUUAAUACCUUUGCUCAUGGACGUUACCCGCAGAAGAAGCACCGGCUAACUCCG